AACAACAACCCUGGUAUGUACCAACAUCUGCAGUAGUGCUGGCCGAAACAACCAUAUUCCCAUCUCUUAAUCCAGGGGCCGUACUACCCAUUUCCACAUGGCCUCUUCUUCUAUUGCUCUCCCGCUGCUCGCGUGCGAUGCGGCAUCUGAUGCACGCCAUCGUCAAAAUGGGAAACAGAAAGAGAAGAUUAUGAGCAGAACAAUGAGGGCUGUUGUCC
Molecule: long non-coding RNA, 218 nt
Filed under: Capsicum annuum
Lineage: Eukaryota; Viridiplantae; Streptophyta; Magnoliopsida; Solanales; Solanaceae
Description: long non-coding RNA (CANN_LNC021573)
Source: RNAcentral